CAGAAAAAGCAGCUCUUAAUCAGAGCAGUAGCAAGAAGAAAGAUUUUUAAGCAGGGUGCUCCUGCUUGCCUAGCAGAGUGAGCAGUGAAAGCUUCCCUCCAAGGUGACUUCCAACCACAGUGAGCAUUGCUCACCAGCUGGAGCAGGACCGCCAGACAAAUGCAUCUUCUCUGCCACAGCCCAGCACCAUGCAAGUCUAGACUGGCAUCAGCAGGACCCCAGAGCUUUACCCCAGCUGAGGACCUGGCACAAUAUGUUAAAAGGUACUUUGGCCCCAGACUCAUUUAUUUGUGUGCAUGCUUCCCCCCUCACCACGUCCGAAUUCUGCAGCACCAGAGACAACAGCUUGGCUAGCUCUGCAUGGUGCCAUGGUCUCUCCUUGCCUGUGGGGUGGACAUGUCAAACCCCCCAGGCCAUGAUGCACACCCGGCAGCCAGCACAAACAAGCAGCCCUAGCUGCCAUCUCUCCCGAGCUCCCUCUCCAAAGUCCAUGCCUCCUUGCCUGGUUUCUUCCAGCUGUCAGUUGUACAGCAGACCUGGAGCUCAGGGUUUCUGAUUCUUGUCACAAGAGCAUCCUAAAGAAGGAAAAGGGGGAGACGCAGGAGACCAAGUUGUGUGUAAGUAGUCAGGACCAUCUGCUGCAGUUAUGUACAAAGGCCAUCGCUUUCAAAACGGGAAGCAAAAUCAUGUCACUCUUGGCUGUGCUCUUCUAGUGUCCUCCCCAUCGAGGCUGAUGCUGCAGUGUACCAGGAGAGGACAUACGCUGUCGACAAAUCAAUUCCUCUGGCUAAUUUGAUUCUGCCUCAGGUGCUGCCCCCACAGACAGCAUCCCCAUCAUGUGUCAUAGCAGUGACAGACAUGCUGGCUCCAAACACCUGGUCUAUCUACGCAGCUAAAGGCAGUGUGGUACAGAGAUAAGGCCUAUGCCCAAAGGAUAGCACCUAGCUGUGGCCAAACCAAUUGCCCACUGCUGUUCCCUUCAGCAAGCAACUUCCCAGCAGAAGCCCACCAGCUGUGCAGCCACCCUGCAUCCCACCCCGUGUGGCUCCAGCUGGCAGCUGUGCAGGGGCCACACCACGCUCCCAAGUGGGACACGCUGCUGCAUGACACGUUUCAGCCUGUGCUUCGCAGAUUGCAGCAUGGCCGAUGCACUUCUUUGGAAGAACAGCAACAUGAAAACCCACCAGUGGUGAUGAGCAGAGAACUGCUCCUUAACAGGCUGAAGGCUUGCAGCUCUUCUUUUAUGAGCUCUUUGGAGGACGAGAAACCCUCCCACCUCUAUGGCCAUGGUAAACAGCUGCAGCUCUGGUCACAGCUCCCUGGUGUCAUCGUCCCUCCAGCUCUCUGCAGCUUCACACCUGCAUUAGUUGCUUUUGGUGAAGAAAAGAGUCAGUAUGUCAGGGAUGAAGCUAGAGCAGAAACGUACUUUUCUACAUGUCGAAAGGGCAAGCGAAGAAAACAGUUGUUUGGGGGUUUUUUUUGACAUUUUCCUUCCCAAGUUACCUUCCUAAAGCGUAGUACCUGGUACAGAUAAAGCCUUCCGGUCUGAACUACGCACACCCUUCCCAACACAUACUCAUGCUUUAGUCAUUUGCCUCCUCUCAAAGCUCAGUUGAAAUAUACUCUGCAAGACCACCCGGAUUCACUAGUCUUAAAAAGCCAAGUGCUGCCUCCUUCAGUGGAUUAUGAAACAAAUCCUCCCAGUCUUGGAGCCAUUCCGUUAUUGUCCCCGCAUAAGAUUUUACUUCCAAGGUACAGUACACGUACACAAUUUACUGUAAUCAAAAGCAUUACUUAAGGUUACUUAAGGAUGACUUUAGCUUACGGCACAGAAGCACAAAGAUAGCAAACCUCUUCAGUUAUUUUUGAAAACCAUUAAACAAAAAAAAAAAAAAAAAAAAAAAAAAAGAAAAAAAAGACUUUGGCGCUACAAUGGUAUAAUUUGCAAGCUACUUCCCUCUGUUUGUAAAGAUAAAAGUCACCCCUAGGCUGCUGAUGAACUUACCAGGUACAUGUUAAUAACUGGGGGAAAAUUCAUCUGAAGUAUCAGACAAUACAAGCUGCUGUGCAGAACUGGCAAAGCAAUUUAAAAGUUUUGAACCCUGGCUUUGUGAGUUAAGAACGGGGAAGGGACGGGAUUCCUACCUGCAAGAGAGAACGCGAUGGACUGGCCAUUAACCACAAUAUUUCAAAACAGGCUGACAAGGGAUCUGCAGGGAAGCAGGACACCAGCAAUAGGUGUUCAGUGCUGCAGCGAUCGCCAGGCAACUUUCCCCCCAACAGUUAGCUGUUCUUACAGCACGCGCACUUGGACAAAUCCCUCACUUUCUAGAAAGAGGAACAUGCAAAGCAGCGUGUCUAACAGCGCGGCUUCUCUGCUGUUCUGGACAAAAGCAUUUUGUCUUCCAGCAUCAAAAGACCCCCUCAUCACCUGCUGGGCCAGGACCUGGUACUGCUGGUCCAACCUGCCAUCAGCCAUAGCUACUUCAUUUACCAGCUUUGCUCCGCCAACCCAGCUGUGCUGCUACACGUCACCUAUGGACAGGACAGCGGCCAGUCACUACCUUACUGCUGGGUACCUUAAUUAACCACCAUGACUCCCCCAGGAAACAGGCAGGUGACACCGUCCCCAUCUCAUGUCGAUAGGCGGUGGAAGUGCCAGACUGGCUUGCUAGGGGCGACGAGGUCUUGGUGGGAGGUCACCCAGUCUAUACCACAGUCAGCCCAGCGCAGUGGCUGGCCUAAGCCGUCACCUGGAGAGCAAAGCCACCUCCGGGUGGUCAGGCGGAGGUGCCUGCGAGGGCAGGGAGGCCGCGGCAGCAGGAGGAUGCUCCCGGGGACUGCCACGGUGCAAGCCCAGGGCAGCUGGAGCAGAGACGCUCCGAGCGGGUGUCUUCUGCCUAAAGCCGGCGUCUGAUAGACCCUCGUGAAAAUGUAAAUGCCAAGAGGAGGAAGAGAUGGAGAGCCACCGCUGGAGCAACAGCUGCCGGGGGCGGCACCGGCGCAGGGCCGGGGCGAGCAGCAGGCUCUGCUGCCUCUUUAUCUUCUGGUCUACACUUCUUGUACACCUGCGCUUGCUGGCAAAACACGGGAAACUGAAAAGUCCAGACUAAGGGAAAACACUACCAAAACAUCAACCAGCUGUCCUUGGGAAUCCUGACAAGCUUAGUCUGGAUCAGUCCAGCACAUUGUAAAUGGAUGAAAAUAUUAUGAAGAGUGAACACAAUCUGGGAAGUGACUGAAGAUGCAGGGAGGACGUGGCUGUAGCCAUACGCAUCAUGGAAGUUCCCCUUUGUUCUUGCACAACUGCCAGAAGACACACAACCACAAGGCACUGUACUGACGUGUAACGUGCUAGAUCUGGGUUUAGAUGCCAUGGGUGCAACCUGGGAAUCCUAACACAGCUCAGCGUCGCGUGCUAUGGCCCUAUAAAAUGCCUGCAGCAUACAUUUACACACUGCUAUUAUUGCUCCCAUUGGCCCUAACACAGGCAUAAAUCACCUCUGCUGAAGGAAGUGUCAUAUCACAGUAUUGUCACAUACAGGAAAAGGUAAUGACUUUCCAAAAAGUGGCAUGCAGCAAACAGAUGCAAUGCCAUCCCCCAGCCUGGUCGUAACUCCUCUUUUAGAUGCAGGGAGAGAUUUUCUCCACUCACCUUCAGGAUCAGUCAGCAGAAUAAAGACUGCAUUUAGCCAAGUGUUCCUGCCAACUCUAACAGGGACCAAAGUAAGCAAACAUAAAAGCCAAAGAGCAACAAUCAUUGCUCUGUCAAUACUGUUGUUGCUAUACAGGAAUCUGAGUCAUACUAAAAGGCGUCUCAAGGAAGGGAAGAGUGGAGCUACAAGAAAUACAAGACGGAGCAAGGAAAUUCUGAUUAAAGCAUCACCACAGCAGCGAUGGGGUGGCAGAUAUGACUAUGAGAAAGUGGCAUCAUAUCCUUCUUGACAGUAUCACCGGGGCUAACAGAGUGGCAAAAAUGAAAGAAAAAUUGAUGAAUGACUUGCUGCCUGUGGAGACUAGAAAGUCUUAAAAUUAAAAAAAAAAAAUAAAUCUUAAACCAAAAGUUUAAAGAAAGUGAUAAUAAAGAGGGUGUAAACCAGAAGCUGUGGUCUAGAUGUGAGUCAGAAGUAAGAAGUCAGCACAGCGUCUUAAGGAGGUGAGAAAUAAAAGGAAGCCCUUAGAGGACAAGGGGUUAAAUCAAGGCUGUGGCCCAAGAGAAAGCGGUGGGAGAUCAGGAGGAGUGACUACUCUGCACAGAGCCAGGAAGAGAGACACCAGAGCAAACAUUACAGAAACAGCUUCAGAUCUCCUGUAGUUCAAGAACUACUGCAGGUUAACUGGUGCAGCACCUCACUCAAAUACACCGGCAUGUUCCUCCCCUCAAUUAGGGGCAUGCUGAGCAUCUUUACACCAGGCUGCAACAUGGCUUACAGCUAGAGCCAGAAAGGAGUUUCAGAUUCAGAAAAAAUAAAAUGAGGGUAUCAAAGAGGCAAAGAGAGACCGGAAAAGGCAGGAACCUGGAGGAACUGAAAUUGAAGAGUCAUCAAGUAAUAUCAGUGUUAGAGAAUAAGAUAUGUAAAAGAAGGAUAAAAUGAAGAUGGGAAAAAAAAAAAAAAAAGCUUCCUUUCAGUGCUCAGGUUUCUAUGAGAAGUAGAGAGCAGAGGACUUUUUUGUCCGAUGAAUCUUGGAUAACAGUAGUAGGAAAGAGCUGACAACUGAAGUAAGGGAAGCGUCUUACACCAGCUGGUGUUCUUGCACAAUUUUCCAUGUUGUCAGAGACUUGGAAAAACAUUUGAAUACACAAGGAACAUUUGGUUUGGCCACUCCGAGGGCAGGCGCUGCUCCUGGGAGCCCAGGUGGUAUUCCCAGGGCCCAGAGUGCACUGCUGCUGAAACUGUGACAACCCUAGAUGCCAAGCACUGCUUUUCAAGCCUUGAUAAGGCAAGAUCGCUGUGGAAACUGGAUACGGGCUCCUUCGCUAGGGGAUUGCUGCGCAGCCACCAGCCCCUCGGCAGCCCCCUGGAGCUGACGGGGAAGGCGAGGGACAGGGGCAGAUGUCUCCUCACUGCCGCCGAAAACA
This is a long non-coding RNA of Calidris pugnax (ruff), 5080 nucleotides long. RefSeq lists it as uncharacterized. Lineage: Eukaryota; Metazoa; Chordata; Aves; Charadriiformes; Scolopacidae. The record is from RefSeq and is a predicted model, not a curated record. The transcript has 3 exons.